UGCCUGCCAAAUCCCCCUUGAUUUGGAA
Molecule: non-coding RNA, 28 nt
Filed under: Mus musculus (house mouse)
Lineage: Eukaryota; Metazoa; Chordata; Mammalia; Rodentia; Muridae
Source: RNAcentral